GCCUACGGGGCGCAGCAGUGAGGAAUAUUGGUCAAUGGUCGGGAGACUGAACCAGCCAAGCCGCGUGAGGGAUGAAGGUACAGAGUAUCGUAAACCUCUUUUGUCAGGGAACAAAGGCGGGGACGCGUCCCCAGAUGAGUGUACCUGAAGAAAAAGCAUCGGCUAACUCCGUGCCAGCAGCCGCGGUAAUACGGAGGAUGCGAGCGUUAUCCGGAUUUAUUGGGUUUAAAGGGUGCGCAGGCGGUCUGUUAAGUCAGCGGUCAAAGCCCGGGGCUCAACCCCGGCCCGCCGUGGAAACUGGCAGU
RNAcentral lists this ribosomal RNA (305 nucleotides) under uncultured bacterium. Its description in RNAcentral is "bacterial SSU rRNA". It matches the Rfam family "Bacterial small subunit ribosomal RNA", at positions 337 to 640 of the family's 1533-position model. The record is from RNAcentral.